This is an RNA transcript of Enhydra lutris kenyoni (northern sea otter), 6206 nucleotides long. It is a transcript of the gene named zinc finger protein 850-like, with no coding region annotated. The transcript is spliced from 9 exons. Lineage: Eukaryota; Metazoa; Chordata; Mammalia; Carnivora; Mustelidae. The record is from RefSeq and is a predicted model, not a curated record.
GCCCUUGAAACUAAGUAGGACGCUUCACAAAGCAGAAGUGGAUUUCCUGGUAAUACAUUUCAUCCCAAAAUGACGACAGAAUCAAAGAAAGCUACAGCUCAGAAACUUCAGGAGAAUGAAGGGCUUCUCAUAGUGAAGAUAGAAGAGGAAGAUUUUGUCUGGAGGCAGGACACUUCCCUCCAGAGAAGCGACCCCUUUGGGCAGGAGUUCUGCCGACAGCUUUUCAGGCAGUUCUGCUACCAGGAUUCCGCUGGGCCCCGCGAGGCCCUGAGCCGGCUGCGGGAGCUCUGCCAUCAGUGGCUGCAGCCCGAGACACACAGCAAGGAGCAGAUCCUCGAGCUGCUGGUGCUGGAGCAGUUCCUGACCAUCCUGCCCGAGGAGCUGCAGGCCUGGGUGCGGGAACAUGGCCCAGAGAAUGGAGAGGAGGUGGUCACCCUACUGGAAGAUUUGGAAAGAGGCGCUGAUGAAGCAGUAAUCCAGGUUCCAGUCCAUGCACACAGACAAGAGAUACUCGGGAAGAAGGUGGUGCCUCCUGGACCAGCACUGAGUGUCCAGUUGCAGCCAGUGGACCCCAAGGCCCUUCGUGGUUCUUCAGCACCCCUUCUGCUGGAUGGCGAUAAUGAGAGUGAAAACAAUGGAUUCAUGCCAAAGUUGGACAUUUAUGAAAAAAUGGAAUCACAGAGGAUUCUAUCAGGAAGAAUUUCAGGAUUCAUUUCAGAAGGAACUGCUGAGCCUCAAAACAUCUGUAAGUCUGCAGGCAGGCUAAAGAAGCAAUGGGAAAAAGAAUCAGGGGGUGCUCAGAGACCAUCAUCUGCUCAGGAUGGAGGUUUUAGUAAAAUCCUUACCCACAAAAAUACACUCACAGGUAGUAUUAGCCAUGAUGGUUGUGAGAGAAGCUUAAACCUGAAUUCAAGUGAAUUGACACACCAGAAAUCUUGUAAACACAGUACCUAUGACCAAAGUUUCAAAUGGAAUCCAGAUUUUAUUAAGCAUCAAAGAAUUUAUGCUGGAGAGAAAAUUCACCAAUAUGGAACAUCUCUCAAAAGCCCAAACCUUAUUAAACAUGCAGCAAUUUUUAGUGGGGAGAAAACCCACCAGUGUAAUGAAUGUGGGAAAGCUUUCAGACACAGCUCAAAGCUUAUCAGGCAUCAGAGAAUCCACACUGGAGAGAGGCCUUAUGAAUGUAAUGAGUGUGGGAAAGGCUUUGGGGGGAGCUCAGAUCUUAUUAGACACCAGAGAAUUCACACUGGAGAAAGACCCUUUGAAUGCAAAGAAUGUGGGAGAGCAUUCAGCCUGAACUCACAUCUUAUCUUGCAUCAGAGAAUUCACACCAGAGAGAAACCCUAUGAAUGUAGUGAAUGUGGGAAAACCUUCAGAGUGAGUUCACACCUCAUUCGACACCUGAGAAUCCACACUGGAGAGAAACCCUAUGAAUGCAAUGAGUGUGGGAGAGCCUUCAGUCAGAGUUCACACCUUCGUCAACACCAAAGAAUUCACAAGAGGGAAAACCUAUAUAAGUGUGAUGAAUGUGGGAGAAGAUUCACUCAAAACUCAAGCCUCAUUAGACAUAAAAGAAUCCACACUGGAGAAAGACCCUAUUCAUGUAACGUGUGUGGCAAAAGUUUCAUCCAGAGCUCACAGCUUAUUGACCAUCAGAGACUACAUAAUCGGUUAAAACCGUAUCAGUGUGAUGAGUGUGGAAAAGCCUUUUAUUACAGUUCACACCUUGUUCAGCAUCAGAGGACCCAUACUGGAGAAAAACCUUUCCAGUGCAGUGAGUGUGGGAAAGCUUUUCACUACAGCUCAGGCCUUGUCCGACACCAAAGGACCCACACAGGAGAGAAGCCGUACCAGUGUGGUGACUGUGGGAAGGCUUUCUGUCUGAGCUCACAUCUGAUUCAGCAUCAGAGAGUCCAUACCGGAGAGAAGCCGUACCAGUGCAGUGAGUGUGGAAAAAGCUUCAGCCAAAGCUCAGGCCUCUUCCAUCACCAGAGAAUCCACAGUGGGGAGAAACCCUAUGAGUGUGAUGAGUGUGGGAAGGCCUUCAGUCACAGCUCGGCUCUGGUAGGACACCUGCGCAUCCACAGCGGAGAGAGGCCUUAUGAGUGCGAUGUGUGCGGGAAAGCUUUUAGUUACAGCUCACAUCUUCUGGGACACCGACGAAUCCACACUGGAGAGAAACCCUAUGAGUGUGACGUUUGCGGGAAAGCUUUCCGGCGCAGCUCACACCUCAUUGUACAUCAGCGAGUCCACGCUGGAGAGAAGCCCUGACGCUAUGCAUGUGAGGACUGUGGGAAAAGUUUCAGUCACAGCUCAGACCUUAGUAAGCACAGAAGGACUCACACUGGAGAAAAGCCCUACAAAUGCGAUGAAUGUGGAAAAGCCUUCAUUCAACGCUCCCAUCUCAUUGGACACCACAGAGUGCACACUGGAGUGAAACCCUAUAAAUGUGAAGAAUGUGGGAAAGAUUUUAGUGGGCGCACAGGUCUUAUUCAGCAUCAGAGAAUCCACACAGGUGAAAAACCCUAUGAAUGUGAUGAGUGUGGGAGGCCCUUCCGUGUAAGUUCAGCCCUGAUCAGACAUCAAAGAAUUCAUACAGCACAUAAGCUCUACUAAGAUGGUGAAUGUGGUCGAGAUUCCGGAAAUAGGUCCACAUUAGAGAGGCAGCGGGGAAAUCCCACUCAGGAGAGACGACAUAAAUGUGAUGAAUGUGGGAAGAGCUUUGCUCAGAGCUCAGGCCUUGUUCGCCACUGGAGAAUCCACACUGGGGAGAAACCCUAUCAGUGUAAUGUGUGCAGUAAAGCCUUCAGUUACAGGUCAGCCCUUCUUUCCCAUCAGGAUAUCCACAACAAAGUAAAGCGCUAUCACUGUAAGGAGUGUGGUAAAGCCUUCAGUCAAAACACAGGCCUGAUCCUGCACCAGAGAAUCCAUACUGGGGAGAAGCCGUAUCAGUGCAAUCAGUGUGGGAAGGCUUUCAGUCAGAGUGCGGGCCUUAUUCUGCACCAGAGAAUCCACAGUGGGGAGAGACCCUAUGAAUGUAAUGAGUGUGGGAAAGCUUUCAGUCAUAGCUCUCACCUCAUUGGACAUCAGAGAAUCCACACUGGGGAGAAGCCCUAUGAGUGUGAUGAGUGUGGGAAAACCUUCAGGCGGAGCUCACAUCUUAUUGGCCAUCAGAGAAGCCACACUGGGGAAAAACCCUACAAAUGCAAUGAGUGUGGGAGGGCCUUCAGUCAGAAGUCAGGCCUUAUUGAACAUCAGAGAAUCCACACUGGAGAAAGACCCUAUAAAUGUAAAGAAUGUGGGAAAGCUUUCAAUGGGAACACGGGCCUCAUACAGCAUCUGAGAAUUCACACAGGGGAGAAGCCCUAUCAAUGUAAUGAGUGUGGGAAAGCCUUUAUUCAGAGGUCAAGUCUCAUUCGGCAUCAGAGAAUCCACAGUGGAGAAAAAUCGCACACAUGUAGUGAAUGUGGAAAGAAGUUUGCUCAGAGCUCAGGCCUUGUUCGACAUCGGAGAAUCCACACUGGAGAGAAACCCUAUGAGUGUGAUCACUGUGGAAAAGCCUUCAGUGUGCGCUCAACCCUCACAGUGCAUGAAAGAACCCACACCGGCGAGAAGCCCUAUACUUGUAAUGAGUGCAGGAAAGGCUUCAGUGUGAGGGCACACCUGAUCAUCCACCAGAGAAUCCACAAUGGGGAGAAACCCUAUGAGUGUAAUGAGUGUGGCAAAGCCUUUAGUAUGAGCUCAGACCUUAUCAAGCAUCAGAGAAUACACUCUGGUGAAAAGCCCUAUGAGUGUGUCGAGUGUGGGAAAGCCUUCAGCGUGAGCUCAGCCCUCAUCAAACAUCAGAGAAUCCACACAGGAGAGAAGCCGUAUGAGUGUAAGGAGUGUGGGAAGGCCUUCUACGUGAACUCCGCCCUUAUCAAUCAUCAGAGGAUUCACUCUGGAGAAAAGCCCUAUGAGUGUGGAGAAUGCAGGAAAGCCUUCAGCCAGAUCUCCACCCUCAUCCAUCACCAGAGAAUCCACACUGGAGAGAAGCCGUAUGAGUGUGAGGAGUGUGGGAAAGCCUUCCGUGGGAGUUCUAAUCUUACUAAACACCAGAAAAUACAUGCCAAAGGAAAGUGUCCACAGUGAUUUAUAUGGUGAAGAUAUUCCAAAGGCCUUUUUUUUUAAAUCAGAAUUUAACACCAAAAGGAGGGUAUGGUAAAAAUUUAAUUGAUACUUGGUCCCUCAGAAUAUUGAAGAAGUGAGAAGUCAGUGGAAAUAACUCCAGAAUGGUAACUAAAGUUCUAAAAUCACAUCUGCUUCUGAGAUUGCCACUUUACAACUCAUAAGGUAAAGCCAUUUAAACAUAUACCAUAAUGUAGUUUACUUUGGCUUAGUAAGAGCAGACGUCAGUAAUUCAACCACUGUCUUUGUUUUUCUCAUGUACAAGCCUUUGUUAUUGUUGCUACUAGUAUCAUGGGUAAAACCGAUUAAGUUUUGAAAUUGGAAGUUGUGUUGAUUGGUGGGACAGGAACCACAUAUUUUCGUUGUAUCUGGAAAUACUAACCAAUUGAUUUUCCUUCCUUUGCCUUGGAGGUACCUCUGUUCUCUCAGGAGUAAUUAGAUAGGUGUGUUAGUAACUUCCUCGGCAGAAGAUAGACUGCCUCUUUUUAGGUAGGAAUCCAGUCAAUAAUUCUUCAGGGUCAUUCUUUCUUCACCAGCGAAGUCCCAGGCCUUUCGACUUACUGAUCCGAUAAGCCCCCUAAACUUGACUGAGCUUCCUGAACCAAAACAAACAAAACAAAAACAAAAAGCCUCUAGACGCAUCAGGUGCUCCAAACCCUUAUAUUUGGUGUUCCUCAGAGUGCGGUAUGGCAUCUGCAGAUUCAGGAGGUGUGAGGAUGGACAGACUCAGGCACUGUUGUUGAGCUGAGUUGGCAUUGGUUGUAGGGUGACUUUCAAGGAUCUGUUUGAGUGACUCCUUGAAGCUUGAUGCCUGCUAACAACACGGAGUGUGGUGGACUCGAGAAGUGGUAGGAAGUGAUUUCUAACUCCUGGGUAACAGGCCUGAAAUUCUUUUGAUCCUUGAAGCUAAAUCACGUGAGGUUGAAGAUGAACACCAAAUUAAUAGAACUUGCAGAUUGCUUUGGUCCACAGUGUAGACAGGCAGAAGGAAACAUUCUCUGAGAAGGUGAAAUGCUGUUCACUCCUCAGAGUGGGAUGACUGUGCUGUACAGGAAUGCGCAGUUUCCAGAAUUUCUCGUCGGCCCUUCCGGCCACUCAGCCCAUAGAUACGCUGGGUUCCAUGAAGCUUUGUACCAGCUUGUGCUGCCAAGCACUGAAGUCUGAGAUGCAUAUGGAAAAGCAUGUCACGGAGUCUCCGAUUCUGAGGUAGUGCUUACCCCUCUGCUCAGGUAGCUGUAGGCAUGGACACAGGGGCUGAACACAGAGAAGGUCAUGCUUAUGGUGCUCAAAUUGAGACAGGACCUCUCCUGGGGCAUGGGGCACGCAAGAGGGAGUAAGGUACAUACUUAGAGGCAGAAAUUGAGGGCCUCGGCAAAACCCUAGGAAGUUGUCUUUGCUAUGCUGGAUUGAGAGUGUGAAUUCCUCUGCCCUUCUUCUUGCUGCCUUUUGACAGUUGAAGGAGACUGGUUGCUCCUUGCUGCGCCCUAGAGAGAGUUCCCUGCCACCCUAUUUCUGUAUUGUUAUCCGUGUUUUUAGUGUUUACCUCUUUGGCCUCAGCUGUCUUGGUUUGUCCCUAGGAUGGAGCUUUGCAGGCAGACUCUUCUGGGAUCAGCACUGAAGAGAUGCCACAUCCCACCCCAAACCAGCACAGCUGAAUCCCAAGCACUAAGUGGUGAGUAUUCUGAAGACUUUGAAGGGGCAGACAUUCUGGAGGGGAAAAAAAAAAUGUUUUACUGACGAGCAUAGUGUUAGGAGAUCAGGAUUCAUGUAACAUGGUUACUUCUUAUGAGCUCAAAUUAAGGUAUUAAUGAUCAUCUCUUGUGGGCUGGGCCUUCUGCCAGGCACUAGGAAUACAAAGAUAAAUGAAAAAAGCUCCCUACUCUCCUAGGCCUUAAAGUCUGACUGGGGGACAGGGAGAAGAGAGCAGAUGAAAACAGCAAUUGCAGUGAUAAAGCCACUAGGUUUGUACAAAGGGCUUGGCACUGAAGAUGUAACAGCCACUUGUGGAAGGGCUGGUAAGGUCUCAGAGAAGGAAGAAA